Heterocephalus glaber (naked mole-rat) is the source of this 268-nucleotide long non-coding RNA. Lineage: Eukaryota; Metazoa; Chordata; Mammalia; Rodentia; Bathyergidae. The record is from Ensembl.
GCAGGAGCUCGGCGGCUCAGCACGCGUCGCCUGGGCCGGCUGGGCUCCUGGCUUCUCUGUCUGCAAUGACAGCGGGUCCCGGAGGAACUGCCCUUGGGACAAACUCGCUAGGGCCACCUUUUUGUAAACUCGUUACGCCAUCUGGUGGCCAGAUAAACCAGAAGCAUGCAAUUACAACGGUACCGGGCUCAGCCGGAGUUCGCGUGUUUAGCCACGGUGCCUGUGUUCUUCACAGGGCCCUUCCCAUCCCCUCCGUCUGCUCCCCGCC